RNAcentral lists this long non-coding RNA (31878 nucleotides) under Selaginella moellendorffii. RNAcentral's name for it is "long non-coding RNA (SMOE_LNC001695)". The record is from RNAcentral. Lineage: Eukaryota; Viridiplantae; Streptophyta; Lycopodiopsida; Selaginellales; Selaginellaceae.
UAUCAUUUCAUACAACCACACAUUCACAAUACAGUCACUAUAUAUACCCUGAGCCUCAGACCAUUUUGGUGCAUUGAGUGCAUUGGUGCAUUGGCGUUAUGGCUUUCCAUUCUUCUUCAGUUCUUGCGGUUCUCUUGGUGCUUCUGGUCUUUACCACCACUACCAUGAUGGUCGAAUCCCAGCAAUGCUCCCAGCCAUGCUGCGGCCGGCUCCCGCAGGGUGGCACCGGCGUCUGCAACUCGGGCCAGUGCUGCAGCCGGUUCAAUUACUGCGGCAGUGGAGGAGAUUACUGCGGCUCUGGAUGCCAGAGAGCCUAUGGAAGUUGCUAUAGCUCAGCCGCCACGAAAACAGCAAAAGUGGCCCAGAACAUGACUUCCAACAAAGGUACGAAGUGAUGCCAUAAGGAAAACAUCUUGUUUACGAAUGUCUCAACUAUAUUGUACCAAAUAAUGGUGUGUAAUAUGUUUGUGCUAUCUAUUGAAAUUCGCCCUUCUAUACUAUAUGAAUUUGUUCUUGCGUUACCUUAGGCAAUCGGACCGGUGAUUUUGGAUGCCUAUAGAUGUGCCGUGGGAAGCCGCUAGUGGGAUAAUGGGAUUUGGAUCUGCCUUGCUUGGUGCCUCGCAGCUGUGUUUGCUGUGCUUGCAUAGUAGAAAAGACAUGGAGGCAGAUGCUGGGGGUGAAGCCGCAGAGAGCUUGAUGUCUCUGGCAAGAAGGUUGCUUCCCGAUUGCAGCAUCCUGUCAAUGCGUGCUUUGCUCAAGAUACGAGUCGUUCCUAGAAGAAGCUAGUUCUAAGGUCAAUUUAAUAUUAAGAUGUAUUUACAGGAAAAAUCAUAUUUCCUUUCACCAGCCUAUCAACAUCUUUUCACCAGCCCCACAAGACUUGACUAGCUUAGCCUACAGUCGUCUAAAGCCAAUCCCAAUGAAAUAGUAGAUACCUGAAAUUUAUUAUAUAAGCUUGAAGCUUCGUUUCCUAUGAAAGGACAUAACUCAUCUACUUUUUCUAUGAUGGGACAAACACACGUCUGAACAUACAACGUGUUCAGAUUAUGGACAUGCAAUACGUCCAAGAUUUAUAUGUCCAAAAUGUGAACAUCAACAAUGACUCGUCUUGGGGACCAGAUUUUGAACAUAUAUAAUGAAUUGUAGUUCUGCUGGAUGUGGACACGUAUGAUGAUUUAUCUUGUGAGUCGGAUUGUGGUGAAUAUAUGUAUGUCAGGAUUAUGCUGAGCUGUCUUCUGGUCAUUGAAUUGGACCCCUGUGAAACUGUGCAGGAAACAUCCGUUGUCAACUUGGUGUGCACCACUUCUGCAAGUUGUAUCUUGGCUGCCUGUACAUGUUGAUAAGCCCUUGAAGUAUUUUAUGGAGUAUAUAAUGUGAUGUACCUUAUGCUCGGGGCAAGCUCUAUAUAAGAGAGCUAAUGGAUGGGUUUCUUUGUGGACAAUAGGUAUUAGAGGGCUUCAAGAUUCAUGGCCUUCCAUCUAUUCCUAAUCAGUUGACUCCGCACCUGUCUAUGGAGGCUUCUUUAAACCCUAAACCCUAAACCCUAAACUAGGUCAAUAUUAGUGGCUAACAUCAUGAAGCACCACCACUCCCCCGCCGCCGCCACCAUCACCACUGGUAUGUAACUUAAACUUCCAUUUCAAACAGGUCAAAGAACCAUGAGAUUUCCGAGUUCCAUGGCACAUGAAGAUGUGUCCAUCAAAGGAUCUUAAUUGCACAAUGGGAGACCUACUUUCAGGUCAAUACUUGUGAUGAGAAUGUUAAGCUUUUGCUUAUUAAGAAAAAGCUUGGUACCUAUGCUUACUCUUGGUGGCAGAAUCUACAAAAGGCAAGGACCGCACCCAUGACUUUGGGCUGUUUUUCUUCCUUAUUCUGCUCGGCUUUUGUGUGUAAACAUGAGGCGGUGGACGAGUGGUUCUCUUGCACACAAGGUACUUUAUCGGCUCAGCAGUAUGCUCAACGUUAUCACGAUCUUCUACUAAACUCGCUGAAUCCAUCCCUGAGUUCCUGCAAGUCUAACAAUUUAUUUUCGGUUUGGCGUGAUGGAGUGUGAGAUGAAGUGAAGCGAAAUCCAUCAACCACACUUGCUGAAGCUGAAGAACUCGCUGUUAUUUUUGUUGAGAGUGUUCUCGUAUGAUCUCUAUUCUCAAUUAGAUCAUAAGAAGAGCAUUAAGCACUCAUAUGAGCAUCGUUUCUCUAGCCGAUCUGCUAGAACUCCACACUCAAUUAAUGGUUUUAAUGGUUCUUCUCAUGUGGUAUAGAAAAAUGAUGCUAACUAUGCAAGUAAGCAGUCUAAGUCGAGUUCGAGACUGAUCGUGCUUCACUCUGGGCUGAUAAUCGUGCACUUCAUCAAUGUUACAGUUGUUAUGAUCUUGGACAUCUUUUGAAGGAUUGUCCUUUGAAGAUACUGUUUUGAGUGCAGAUGUCAGAGGUCCUCAAAUUCCUUCUAUCCCUUUUAAUUUACUAAGCAUUAUCUUUUUUGAAAUGGAGAUAGAAGAUAUCGCUUUAGUUUUGUAAAUAUAAACAAAGAAAUGCUUUUCUUUUUCUUUUUUGCUAUCUAAGAAUUGAACCUUACCUUUCUCUUUUUAAGAAUAUAGAUCUAUAUAAGAUCACUUUAUACUCUACAAAGAGGUUCAAGGUUUUUUAUUUUUAUAUUCUGGAAACCAAACAUUAAAACAUUUGAUUUUAGAAAAAAAAAACUAGUUGCUACUUUGAAAAAGAGUACCUACUAGUGCUUGGCAAGAGUGUAGAGAAAACCAUGAAUGGUCAAGAACUGCUGGAAAUCUGAAAGUGAGUAUUGUGUUAAGUAAGCUCUUUCUGUCCACAACAAAACAUCAAGGGGAGUAUCCAAAGUGACCAUUUAAGGUACAGGAAGAGGAGAGGUCCUAGUUGGGUGAAACCGGACUGUAAACAGUUAGUAUUUAGAUGGUAAGGCAAGUAAAGUAUAAAUCUCACUCUUGUGUCACACAUUAAGGUCUAUAUAUAUACAUAUCAUAGCAAAGCUUAAAGAUAAGUUUGGUGGAAUUCUUACAAAACCACCAGCUUAUGAACCAAAAUUAACCAAUUAUAAAAUUAUGAUAAAUAAAUUUCAAUUUUGUGUUGUAAUGCUCGAAUCAACCCCUAAACCUCCAUUCAUAAACUUAUUCUUCUAUCCCUUCACACUCAUACUAGUAGAGUUGAGAAGUUAAUUAUUUUUCUUUGUUAAAUUUACAUCUGCAUUAAUUUUGUGUUUAAUUUAUAUUCCAGCCAUUGUUGUGUUUCAAUUAACUCUUCCUUUGAUAUUUAUUGCAUUUUUUUAUGCCACACCAUUGGUCUUGAUCAAUAAAUGUAUCAUUAAAGGCUGUAGAUGUUAUUCCAUUGUCCUCAUCUAGCAAUAUUAUUUCUACUACUGUAUCAUAUUUAGUGAGCAUUUAGACAUGAUAUAGAGUGUGAUCAAGUUUAAUGUUGCAUCGCUUCUGUAAGAUAUGAUUAUAGUGUUAAUCCUAUUUUUGGUAUUUUGCUAGUGGAGAGCAAUUUUUGAAAUUAACUAAAGAGCAAUGGAUGACAUAAUUAAAUUCUUAGAGAAUAUUUAAAGAUUAACUUGUGAGAGUAUAAUAUUUAUGAGCUCAAAUAAGUAUUCAAGUUUUUAAAGAUAUAUUUUAAGAUAGAGGUGGAGAUUUCAUGCGUCAGAAAUUAAUUUAUAAAUCAGUAUACCAUGUGAUCCAUUUUCUUUGCCCAUCCUCUCCACCAAUAUGAUUACGUGAGUGCUUGGGAUAUGAGAAUAUAUAUUAAACUCCCUGAAAUGGAUGGACUAAAGGUGGAUAAUACUAAGAUUAAAGUAGUUACAUCCUAGUAUUAUAUAUAUGUAAUUAUAGACCAUAUAUAACUAAGAUCUCAAAAAAAAAAUUCAACUCACACCAUCAUGCCAUCUAAAUAUGCAAAUUUAAAUAUUUGAACCUCACCAGUAGAAAUCCAGCCAAAAGAGCGAAUUUAUUUCUUCAUGACACCAAUUUUCUUCCUUAAAUCAAGCUCCCUUACUCCAAGUUUCAAACAUCUCUAAGUCAUGUUUGGUGAAGUUGCUAUUAAAAACGAAGCAAAUAAUUAACUUCAAAGCCAAGCAAUAGGUCCCUUUUUAGUCCUUCUAGCAGCUCUUGUAGCCAUGGGAAAUUCUCAAGUGAUUCCUGUUUAAGUGAUUUUUGUCUUCGGAUUGUUUGUUUAAUUAAUUUGUAUAUAUCUAGGAUUGCAGUAAGGGUAUUUACGGGUAACAGACCAGCAGGAAGCACUGCCAAAAUUACACUUGUCCUCUACAACGACGGAAGCAUCGCCCAAAAUCUCACUUGAGCCCUCCUGCAAAAAUUGUUGACUCUCCUUUUCUUAUUAUUUUUCACAAUGCAUAUAACAGGUUUUAGGCAAUGUGAUCUUAGUGGUCCAGAAAGACCUUUCCAAGAUGCUUACCAGGAGGAUCUUUUCAACAAGAGGGCCGGGUGCAUCACAAAUGCUUGUGCCUACAGUUCAUUCUUGAAGGACAGCGGGAUGUUUUUCACAGCAUGGAAUGUGAGCAGUGCACAAGUUGGAUUUUUGUCAACUGGAAAUGGCCUAAUUAUAAUUGAUGCUCCCAGAAUCAACAAACUGUUGGUGGUGCAAGCAAGUGCAACAUCUUUGGCGCCGGCAAUAUCUAAAAUAUAUGGAAGCUGCGCUUGAGAAGUCUGCCUGUGAAGAUGAAGGAAAAUGAAAAUGAUGGGAUGUUAAUGUCGUUAAGGACCAGUAAGAAACAACUUCAUAAGUUAGUGGUCUCAGUUUUUACUAUAUCAUACGGAAUAUUCUGGUUUAGGGUUUAGGGUUUAGGGUUUAGUUUUCCCAGAACUUUAGAAAAUUAAGAGAGAGUAUGCUACAAAUGUAUUUUCCAAAUAGGCUCAUGUCCACUGCUUUCUUCAGCAACAAUGUCACCAUCCUCAUGCAAACCCCCUUUUUCUCUCUUCCAUUAUCUGAGUUAUCUUGUGUAGCUCGUUGUUGAGCUUUUGAUCCUUGUUUUGCUGCCAUGUCUUUCUUCCAUCUUGCAUCUUAACACCAAAUUGAUAAGCGGCUUUUGGAGUGGCUUCUUUCUGGUCGUUGUAUUUAGACCAUUCUUCUUCUGUCUCAAAGUCCCAGCGAUGCAAUCUUCCUUUAGCCUGGAGAAUGAAGAACACAGUUAAAAGUAAACAAGAUAAAGAAAUCCUCCAUUGCCACCGACGUCCAUUUUCGUGAGAUCCACGUCUUCAUCACUGUCAACUAUCUCUCUGUUGUACUCCUGGUAUCCUGGGUAACACUCCGAGUAGCUCUCUGACACGAAGUUUGGAUCUUUCUCGCGAGAAUCAAGCUCCCUUCGCUGACGGAGCCUUUGAUCGUCCUUCCAGAUGACAUUUAAUGCUGAACCAAUAAAAAACUGCCACAUGGACAUUGUAUUGUGAGUGAAAUCUGCCACAGUAACACUCACCCUUUUACGAAUUGCACGCCAUAAAAAAAUCUUUAAGCUUUUUGAAAGAGUCGCGAUGGUUCCAAUGCGUGGCAGGAUUUCCAUAAGAUUUUUGAAUGAAUUUUGUUUGUACACCUUUCCAGAAGUUAUUUUUUUGCACAAGUGUGCAGCUGGAGAUUGGCCUUUAUUUCUUUCUGGGUGGCUUUCUCUAUUCAGCAUGUGGGAUUGGCCGGCAAGGACUUCAGCAGAAGCAAUCUCUCGCGCCCAAUCUCUCGCUGCCCCCCCCCUCCUCCGCGGCGCAGGAGCGAUGGCGGAUCGUCUGCGCGCCAGGAGAAUCUGUCCAAUGCGGACUUCCGACGGAUGGUCAUGGAGACGCCACGGCGAGCUCCACCGGAUGAGAGCUCUAAGGAGCAGCGCCCUAAAAAGUAAGUGUUAAGCUGCAUUCCACAGGAGAACAGUCUUAAAUGGAUUUUCGAUCCAGGAAGAAUGCCGAUGAGAGUGCAAAGCGUCCUCCUCGAAAGUUUCGGGCCGCCCAAGCCCAAAGACAAUGAGUAAGCAUUUUUCUCGCUUUCCGUUUGCUUACGCGACUUCAUUGAUAUAGAGAGGAAAAAAAGCCGACGACGAUCGAAGACAUUAAUUUGCCGAAGUAUCGUGACCGUGCUAAAGAGCGACGCGAGGAUCAAAAUCCAGACUACGAACUUAUGGCUGCCGCAUCAGGAAUUAGCAGCUUACACGCCGUAGCUCCUCCGGGAGCUGUCGAUUUACAGUCAAGUAAUCUGUUCUUACGUAGAAUUUUCUUUUUCAUGGUGGUGUGUUGUUAUCCCGCAGGGCAGCUGAAAGAAGAUAUCCAUAGCCAAUAGCAAGUAUCUUGGAGGUGAGUUUCACAGUUCCUUAAAAUACUGCUUUUAUGAACUGGUUUUGGUACAGGUGAUGUCGAGCACACGCAUCUGGUGAAGGGGCUGGACUACGCUCUCCUAAACAAAGUCCGGAGUGAGAUUGAUAAGAAACCAGAAGAAUUUGAGCAGCAGGCUGAGGAAGAAAUAAGGUGCAAAACUUCAAUUUUGGUUUGCGUUUUCUCAGAGUACGUUUUUAUUCAGGGUCCCAAUAAAGUUCAAUUCUCCAGCUGCGAGGGUAAAAUCCUAGUUCGCUGUGAAGUUGUUCUAACCUUGAAAGAGUUCUCGCAUUUUCUCAGGUGGUAUACAAAUGGUUGGUCAAGCCUCCAACUUCGAGCAAAACAAACGACAUGUUUCUUCCGGGUAUGGCCUUUGCAUUUGACAUGGUAAGCCUUAAAUUUAUUUGGUGGAUAUCUAAAGUUUUCCGGAAAUUCCAGGAAGAAAUGACACACCAUAUUCCUACCAUUGUGUACCGAAGCAAGGAUGACUGUCCUACACCCGAGGUAAGCAAGAAGAUAAGUGAGAGUUGUAUUUACAGUGUUUUCCUUUCGAUUUCACGCAGGAAUUUGUGACUGUGGGAGUGGACAUGGUUGUCUUAGAUAGAAUAUCCAAAAUCAUGGCUUAUUUGAAGCUGGGAGCUUCCAGUAAGGUGAGAGAGCUCGUUUGUUUUUUGUCUUAGCUAAAAUCUCUAAGAGUUUCUUUAUUUCCCAGGCCUCAAAGAAAAAGAGAAGAGACAAAUCCAACUCGUAAAGUACGUUUUUUUUCAUUCACUCUAAGAAGUUUCGGCCGACACUUGUUUGGCUUUCUCCAGGCACUGUAAAAGAAGAAGCGGCGGCACCACCGGUUGACGUCAAACAACCAGCGAUGAGUGAUGGUGAUGAAGCAAAGGAUAUCGACACUAGCACCGUCGAAGAGGAAGCACCAAAGGCUCGAGUCGUUGAAGACGACAUAUUUGCAGACGCUGGUACAGAGUACGUAGUAACCAUGAACGGCAGUCCUUGAUCCGAGGAUAUGGAGGAGUCUCCACGACGGGAUGGAAAUGGUGGCGAUUCACACUUUCAGGAGCAAAGAUCACAUGAAGACUGGGAACAGGCAAGCAUUCUAGCUAUCAGUUCUGGAAGACACCUGACUGGUUUUUCUUUACCUUCCAGGCUCCAGCGCAAGGUCCUGCGAUGCCUCAGUGCGGUAGUGAGUGGCAAUAUUAUCUUCCUUCUACUCCCGACGAUCCUUCCUACGAAUACUACGCCAAUCAGCUUAGCGUGGAAGGAAAUGCAAGCGUUCCAGCAGCAGCCAUUGCUCCUGCUCCUGCAAAGGAUCCUCGCUUCAUGACGCAGGAAGAGAAGGACAGAGGCAUGAGUUCGGUUUUCUGGCAUCUAUGUAUAGCCCAUUGUUCAUAUUAUAAUCGACCCAUUGGGCCAGCAUCCAUGGGGUAUCCAUGAGGCACAUAUCGGUUUAAGAGACGCUUCCUUGCCUUACUGCCCUGCUUUAGUGCUCUGUUGUUCUAUGCUCUGUAGAAUCUGUUCUUGGCUAUGGUGUAAGGGAUAUUUCGGGUGGUAUGGAGAGCUGCGGAGCUGCUAGGGAUUGAUAGCAAUGGCCGCAAUCACAGCUUCGGAUUCCAGUGUUCUGGAGCAAUUCCAUCACUUGUCAUUGCCUUCUCCCCUGCGUUGCCAUCCAGCUCGUCCCCGGCAGCUCCAGCUUGGCGACCUCCAUCCUCAAGAAUCGCAGUGCAAGAUGGAGGAAGCAAGAGGAUUCAACAAUUGCCUAGACGCCGCGGCGGGUAACAAUGGGAGCAUCGAUGGUUGCGAGCAGCACAGCGGCAGUUGGCAAUGUGGGGAGGACACGGCGAUGGCCGUCGAUGACAAUCAAGGCUGCCACACUCCCAAAUUCUAGAUGGAGUUAGAUGGAGUUCACUUACGCUUGCUAUGACACUGAGGUGUGCCAGAAAAGGAUAAUUCUUCUUCUUUUGCCAUGAGCGCCAAGAGCAAGAUGUGAGAACAUAGUGCUCUAGAUAAAGUAGUAUGGUAUGCAAUUUAGUCGAUUGUCCAUUUGGUUUGCAACAUUAACAACUGCUGGAAUGCAUGGGAUGAAUGGGUCUAUGGCCCAUGAAUGGCUCCAUUCCAUACAUAGCAUGGGUCAUUGCUAUGGGCAUGAUGCCCCAUCCAGGGCAUAAGGAUUGGAUAUUCGUAAAAUAUUCUAUGCUUGUGUUUUUCUCACACUCAUAAUACACGUGGACCAAUAACAGGCAUACACGUGGUGUGAGUGAAAUCCACCAUUGUAAAAUCCACCCUUUUACGAAUUGCACGCUAUAUUUUUCCUUCCAAUAAUAAGUUUGGCCAAAUGUACUGGAAAGGUAUUUUCUUCAUGUAAAUGAUAACCGUGCACUAACUAAACUGAGGGUGAUUUCACAGUGCUGUCCAACUGCAUCGAAGAGCCUGAGUCUUAAUGCCAAUGACCAUUCUAACUUGCUUAUUUUACCACCGUUAAUAUGCCGGCCGAGUGUUAGCACUAGGUUUCUAUUGGAAGCCUACCAACAAAGCACCACAUAUAAAAUGUAAUAAUAUGCUGCUCCUUAAUUAAUCUGUCAAAUAUGUCACUUCAAUUGUAAACAAAAAUUAAUCUAAUUAGAAUAUACUAGAUUAUAAGUUAUAAAUAUGUUUGGGGAAAUUAUAAAAUUGACAUAUAUCUAAAUCAUAUAAAAUUUUAUAUUUAGAAGUAUCCAAGUAUAUCCUAGAUAUAUCCACUCUACUCCAUUAUAAAAUAUAAGUAAAAAUUGAAUGCAUAAAAAGAUCAUUCUCAAUAAAAUUGUAGAUAUAGGAACAUUUUAUGAUAAAAUAAUUUUAUUUUAUUUCUUUUAGUCAGCAACGCUUACAUUGCUUGGUUAUUUAUUAUAAUCUUGGAUGGAUGGAGCCACAAAGUUGCUUUGCUUGAUCAUGCUCAUUCUUUGAAAACACUCAAAAUUCCUUUGCCCACAGCAAUCAAGGCAAUUGAUUAUGAUCAUUAAUGUAGAAACCUAUCUUAUUGAAGGCAUUGUACAACUUCUCCCCACUGACUGUGCUCCCAACAAAAGGCAUACACCCCAGUGUAUUGGUAGGGAUAAGUAGAAAUACACUUGUUAAUAAUUGGGCUAAUAGAUGUUGGAUUAUUCUGGAAUUUGAAUUGAUAAGCAACUAAAUUUUGUAGAGUAAAUUUAUUUUAAGAUGGAUCACACAUGAGCAAGAUAGAUACACUGUGAAAAUUAACAUUUGUUGCUCGAGAAAUUUUUGGGACUUUUAUAUAAGAGAUGUCCUAGACAUUUAGCCUCUAGAGGAAAACCAUCUCCAUUUUGAAAUUGAUCAGAAAGUUAAGUGCUUACUCCUAAAAGUGAUUGAUAGGCCAAUUUAUAAAGGGAAUAUAUUGCAUACUAAAACCUUGUACCACUCACUCCACAAACGAGGCAUAAUAACUAGGCUUGCCAUAAUAGCAACACCAACUGACCUUGAAAUAAGUAGGCAUAGACUAACAAUUGAUUUUACCUAUAAAUCUUUAGAGAGCAUAGUUCUUAUGCAUAAAACUAUCACUAUUUAUACCAAACAAGGUGAUAGAUAUACAAUAUUUCCCUUCACAAUCUAAUGAAUAAAAAGCAAUCUAAAAAAAAGUAUUCACAAGAUCUAGAACGAGUUUAUAGAGCACUUGCUCAUGAUAUCCAUGAUCUUAACCUCCUUUCAAAAUGGAUUAAAUUGCUCAAUCAAGCUAGAGAAAAGUUUAAAAAAGAGUGAGCUGAAAACAUAUUAGGUACACUUUAAUGAAAAGGAAAUCAUGACUUUGAUGGUCAUCCAGAAUACGGGAAUCCAUAUGCUACUCGGCAGUAUUGGCACAUAGAAAACACCUCUACUUCAGCUGAGAGUAAUGAAACACAAAACAACUAGAGUGAUUCCCCACAAAAGGAAGAAGAGCUAAAUUUACAACUGUAGUACACAUGGUUUUUACCCUUUAUCUUAUGGUGAUUUAUCAUAAGAUAAUCACAAAGCGGAACUGUAAGUGAUUAAAUUUGCCAUUCUACUUUAAUCACUUAACCACACUUCCAACCACUUAAAGAAGUCUCACUCACAACCUCCAUAAGUCAUAUUUUGGACUUAGGGCUUGCUAGCCCCAAACAUGCAUCCAUGCCACUCAACCUUUACAUUUGGUCCAAAUGCUUCACAAAUCCAAUCCCAUGACCAUCACCCAAAGGUACCAUCGACAUAUCAGCCCGUUAUGCUAAUGCCAUACCCAUUCACUUUUGUCACAUGGUGAUCCAACACUACCUACAUCACAAUCCAGUUUUUCAAAUACUAGACCAUUCAUCCAUAAGUGAUCAUUUUAGAUUCACUCCUUAGCAUCCUUAGGAUGCCCAUAGACAUAGGGAACAACCUUCUCUAAUAUCCCUUUUUUGGUCCUCACUAAGUCCCUUUCUGUCUAUGGCCCUAUUUGCCAAUACUGCCACUGGGUCAAGGCUCACAGGCUUGACCAUUAAGUCCCACUAUCCUUUGGGACUUUUUCACUAUGUGAUUGCAUCCUUGGUCACUACAUUAAAGGAUUGCUCUUCUUCCUCUCCACAAUUUAGGAUUUUAGGAUAACAUUUUGGAACACCAUAGCCCUAUACGAGCCUCAUAGGUAUUCUCCUUACCUUUUGCAUUUGGGUGCUAUAGCCAUGGGGCUAGAGUGAAGUUCUGUUAAGCCAUGCCAAGUAUCCAAGUAGGUAGUGCCACCCCCACUUGGACUAGGAGCAUCAACCAUUCGAUCUCUUAGGGGAACUAGAGUCGGCUCUUGAACUCUUCAUCAAGUUACCCCACUUGUCAGUUCGUAUUCACUCUAACUUUGAACUCCUCUGUCUCAAUGGAUAUAUCAUCACCCAACACAUAGGUUGGUCACAUUUUUGGAACCCCUUGCAGCCCCCCCCCCCCCCCUUCCUUGGGGGGGCGAUUGCUUUGGGCUUUCACCCAAUAGCAUAUAUUAGUAUUCGAACUCGAACUCGGUCUCAGUCUUGGUUCUAUCUCAAACUCUAUUUCGGACUCCAUUUUAAGUCCAUCUUGGACUCUAUCUCAGGUCCAUCUCGGACUCCAUCUUAAGUCCAUUUCGGACUCCAUCCCGGGUCCAUCUCGGACUCCAUCUUAGACUCUAUUUCGGGUCCAUCUCAGACCCAGAUUGCUCUAAGUUUAAGCUUGUUUAAGUUUUCUAGUUUAGCAACUCUUUGCUUAAGACCUUUUUUUCGUCUAGGCCAUUUUUAAUUGUGAUAUGCAAAAAGGGAAUUAUAAAUUCCAUAAGCGGUAAAGCUUCCUGGCCAUAAGUAAGACAAAAUAGUGUCAUGCCUGUGAUUACUUUAUAUGCAAUCCUAUAAACCCACAAAGCAUCUAGGAUUUACUUGUCUUAAUCUUUUUUAUUGUCGUUUACAAUCUUUUUUAAGAUAUUCUUAAGCACUUUGUUAAUAGAUCCAACCUGGCCAUUCCCUUACGGGUAAUAUAACAUGGACUUUUUGUGCUUGAGGAUAAAUUCUUGUAUAAAAAUUUCUAUUGUUUCAUUGAUGAAAUGGGUGCCUUUAUCUAUGAUGAUUUCUUUGGGCAAACCAAAUCUUACAAUGAUGUUUUCAUAAAAGAAUUUGGUAGUGUUAGCAGCUGUGGCCUAUUUCAUAAGCAUAGUUUCUAUUCAUUUUGUCAAGACCCCCAACAAAAUCAAGAUUGGAAAAUGUAGAAGACAAAGAGAAAAGCUAGUGGAAACGAAGGAGACACUUUAGACUGGCAUUGAUUUAGAUUGUGGAGAAAUGGAACAAGGUUAACCUAUAUAUACUAUAGGUUGAUGAUGCUCCACCACUCUUGGAUCGAGGACGGCCUAGAUAUAGCUGAGGUCGACGAGGCACCACGUCAUCAUCAGGAAUGUGGUUCGAGACUUAGGAAUCAUAUGGGAAAUCAGAGAGUCAAGAAUAGGGAAGUGUCUUGAGAGUUAGGAAUGUGGUCUACAGGUCAGGAAUCUGGCAAGAGUCAGGAAUGUGGCAAGAAUUGGGGGAUUCCUGACAACACCCCCUCCUCAAGAACAAGUGGAAUGAGGAUGUGAAUGAGAACAAAGAGGAGGAUGAGAUGGGCGGGGAGGGACGGGAGAUGGAGAAUGAAAAGAAUGAGGACUGGGAUGAGAAGGAUAGCAGCGGUGGAAGUCCUGAAUAAGGUCAGGAGAAUGAAUUAGGUUGUCCGCAGGUUCCCAAGUGCGUUCCUCAGCUCCGUAACCCUUCUAGUCUACAAGAUAGUAAAGUUUAGACCGUGAGAUCUUGGAAUCAAGGAUGUCCUGAACCUCAUACUCAGACCCAUCCUCGAGCUACACUAGUGGAGGCAGAGGAAUGACCGAAUUUGGAAUAGAACUAGGAAUAUAAGGUGUAAGCUCCUGAGUUUGGACUUUCCGGGAGGUCACCCAGCCUAGUACUAUUCAAACCCAAGGAUGCUUAACUCCACUAUCCCAAGACCCUUAACCUUUGGAAAAGGGGGUGCACUCUUGUUCAUGGGCCCUUUCCCUCUAUAUUUGAACCCCUAUGGAUCGUCUCUUAAGUUGUUCUCUUUGGUUGCUUACAAUCCACCACGCUUCCCUGCAAGUUCAAGCCCUCGUGAACGGAAGCUGAGAGCCCCAGCUCUCCCGAGAGCCCUGCUCUCUUGACACCCUACCCCUUGGGUCGAGCCCAGCAGGAGCAAACUGGACCAGCCAGAUGUCAAUCAACAUGUGGUGUGAUUCCCCUAGCCAACCAACAGAGUCGGACACGAGACUGCUCCGAUACCAAAUGUAAGCUCCUGAGUUUGGACUUCCCGGGAGGUCACCUAGCCCAGUACUAUUCAAACCCAAGGACGCUUAACUCCACUAUCCCAAGACCCUUAACCAAUUGGAAAAGGGGGUGCACUUUUGUUCAUGGGCCCUUUCCCUCUAUAUUUGAACCUGUAAGCCACAAAUUUUUCCUUUCCAAUUUGCUAGCUUACCUCGUCUAUCCGUCCAACACUGCCUUGGCUUUUGCUAAGUUCCCUUGCCAAGGUUCUCGCCUAUGGUACCAGCUCCUACUUGGUUUCAGCUACUCACUACACGAGCAACGGAGUGUUAGCCAUCCUUCCACGGAUUCCCAAAUCACUCCCAAUCCCCCUCCCCGGGUUAGACUGGACUUAAGGUUCGGCUACACUCCCCGCAAGCACAAGCAGCCAAGCACACCAAGCUUCCAGGUUCCUAACAUCCCUUGGUACCACAAGACUUGAUCAUGGGACCCUCUAAAUCCCAAGUCUUGAGUGCAACACUUGCUUCGGGACGUCGGGGCGAAACACCGUGGCCUAGCGGCCCGGUAUGGGUACCUCUCGCCCCCCACUUCCAUCCCGAAGGAAGGCCCAAGCCCCUAGGAAGGGCGAGGACCAAUGAGCCGCAUAGUACUCAAGUGGGGCACCACUCCACAUGAGCCGGGAGCACCGCAAUCGGUUUCCCUUUCGGGAGUGGGAGCUACUCUUGAGCACUUCCUUGGAUGGCCCCUCCGGCACCAGCCAAGUCCAUGCUCACUCCCACCCAAGGCCCCUUGGUCCCAGUCUCAACCUCAAGUCGGUUUAGGAGCUCCACUGGAGAGUCCCUUCAAAACUGGUUCCUGGACCUCACUAUCCCUACUAUACUUUUGGAACCCCCUGCAGCCCCCCCCCCCCUGGGAGACACAUGCUUUGGGCUUUCACCCCUUGACCCGUAUUAGUACUGGGACUUAGUCUCUGGCUCGAUCUCGGAUCCGAUUUCGGAUCCGACUUCGGAUUCGGUCUCGGAUUCGAUCUCGGACUCGAUCUCGGACCCGACCUCGGACUCGACCUCGGACUCGGUCUCGGACCCGAUUUCAGAUCUCGGACUCCGUCUCGAACUCGGUCUCGAACUCGGACUCGAACUCGGUCCCCGAGUCGGUCUUGGACUCGAUUCCGGACUCUAUCUCGAACUCGGUCCUAGAGUCGGUCUUGGACUCGAUCUUUGACUUGGUCCCAUCCGAUGAACUCUUUGUCAUUUUGGUCAUGCUUUCGGGGUUCCUUUAGCCUACGACACCUCGGCGAGUUGGUUCCUUACAACUCCACCACCCAUAGAAGAAGUUCGAUGCCCACAUCGAACGUCUCUUUUUUAUCCUACGACUUGUUGACCAUGUCUCCGGGGGCAUCCCCCCACUUAGCGGUGUGCCUAAGUCAGCCUCCCCGGCCAAGAGCCCAUGACAACGGAAUAUAGGUGUCCCUAUACUCCUCACCUCACCACGCCCUAGUAUGGGGUCGGGACUUGAACCCAGCCUUGCUUUACUAGGGGGUUGGGACUCGAACCCAACCUCUGUAGAAUACGUCUACGGAUUCGACAUCCCCGCAAGGAGUUAGGCGUAGCUCCCUACGCCUGGUUGACCUAGCUAACCCAUGCUAAUUAGCUUACCUUCGGCGCGCCUUCGGGUCCCAACAUAUGCCAUUGCUCAACUUCUCAAAUUGAUACUUUUAAUUGAACUUUGCAUAAGUACAUAGAGUUCUACCAUGCAGAAAUUCCUCCACAAGAUCUCGCGCGUUUGCUAGGUUCUCCUCCGGUUCCCAUGUUGCUUCGCAGUGUGGAAAUCCUUUCCACUUCACAUGGAACUCUCUCACCUCGCGUCCUUGUCGCUUGCUCUUGCGCGCAUUGAGGAUGGCCUCGACUUCGUAUUCCUCCUCCCCUUGGAUAACCUCAGGUAAAGGUCUUACUUGGUCCUUGCGAAGCGGAUCCUCAAAAUACGGCUUGAGUAAGUUCACAUGGAACACGGGAUGCAUCUUCCCCAUCUCUCGAGGAAGUCGGAGACGGUAAGCCACUUUACCGAUUCGAGCCUCAAUCUCGUAAGGCCCCGCGAACCUGCUUAAGGAACUCAAGAUCAAUUCAUUUACAGGAAUACAUGCAUUUUUACCUUUGGGUCAACUUUCGGCUAAUCCCACUUGGUAGCCUGAGGUUCUUGGUGUUCAGCCACACCUUCUCCCCAGCUUGGAACUCCACAUCCCGUGUUCAACCACACCUUUUCCCUAGGUUGGAACUUUACAUCUUGGCACUUUUGGUUCGCGUACUUAGUUUGUCUUUGUUGAGCCCGUUCCAAGGAAUCCCUCACUAGAUUCCAAAUGUUGAGUCUUUUCGCCGUGAAUGCCUCCACUGCGGGUAACUCUCCAUGAUACUCGGCCAUGCCGAGUUCCACAGGACCUUCAAUAGCUCGCCCAUUGAUGACUUCCCAUGGACUCACCCCGAUGCUCGAAUGUGGUGAGUUGUUAUAACACAUUUCCGCAAGUCCCAAAUGACUUACCCAGUCGGUCUGGUCUCCCGAGACAUAGCAUCGCAAAUAAUCCUCCAGCUGCCUAUUCACCCUUUCCAUUUGUCCGUCUGUCAAGAAGUGUUAGUGCCAUCAAUCUUGACUUAAUACCCAUUACCUGUCUGUGGGUGAUAGGCUGUGCUGAAUUUCAACUUGGUGCGAUACUGUUCUAGGAGUGUCCUCCAGAACCUACUGGUGAAGAUCUUAUCUCGAUCUGAGAUAAUCUCUUCCGGCCUUCCCCGCACUCGAACCACUUGUUCGAAGAACAGCUUCGCCACACCUUCCGUUGCGCCACACCUUCUCUCGAGUUGUUCCCUUUGGUUGCUUACAAUCCACCACGCUUCCCUACAAGUUCACGCCCUCGUGAACAAAAGCUGAGAGCCGCAGCUCUCCCGAGAGCCUCGCUCUCUUGACACCCUACCCCUCGGGUCGAGCCCAGCUCUCUUGACACCCUACCCCUCGGGUCGAGCCCAGCGGGAGCAAAUUGGACCAGCCAGAUGUCAAUCAACAUGUGGUGUGAUUCCCCUAGCCAACCAACAGAGUCGGACCCGAGACCCCUCUGAUACCAAAUGUAAGCUCCUAAAUUUGGACUUCCCGGGAGGUCACCCAGCCCAGUACUAUUCAAACCCAAAGACGCUUAACUCCAACUAUCCCAAGACCCUUGACCGAUUGGAAAAGGGGGUGCACUCUUGUUCAUGGGCCCUUUCCCUCUAUAUUUGAACCCCAUGGACCAUCUCUCGAGUCGUUCCCUUUGGUUGCUUACAGAACCCCUAUGGAUCGUCUCUCAAGUCGUUCUUUUUGGUUGCUUACAUAAGGCUUAAGAAGAGAGGAGUGAAAAAGGGGUGAAUUUGAUAUAAGGAGGGAAGUGCAAGGUGAUAGGUGAUAGGAUUAAUGAUAGCAGUGAUAGGGAAGGACCGAGGUGCUUAAAAUCAAGUUUGGGACAUGGCCUGGUGGUGGAGAUAGCUAGACUUUAUCCCCUUUAUUGUAAGGGGGACAAUCCUGACGAUGGACAUUGGCAAAUGUUUUGUGAGAUUCCUGAGCACGAUGGAGGUGGAAGGAGAUGGAGUUGUGGAUUUCUUGGAGGUUGGAGACAAAUACCUCAAAGUGGGGAUUUGAACGAGAGGAUUUGGAUGGAGAAGGAAGUGAGAGAUUGAAUCAGGGAUUUCGGCCAGAAUUUGCAAAGAAGGGGGAAACUCAAAGGGAGGAGUGAACAGAGUUGUUACAGGAGAACUCAGCAAGGGGAAGGAUAUCAAACCAGUCAUUCUAAUGAUAGUUGAUGAAGCACCUCAGGAAUUGUUCCAACAUCUGAAUCGUUCGCUCGGACUGUCCAUCAGUUUGAGGAUGAUACACUGAAGCGAGGUUAGCCUUCACUCCAAGCAACUGAUAAAACCGUUGCUAGAAAUGAGAGAUGAACUGAGGUCCCCAAUCCAAAACCACAUUUACAAGAAUUCCAUGAAGUCGGAAAAUUUCCCUAAAUACCAAUUUUGCCAUGUCUUCGCCCGAAAACUCCUUGGUACACAGCAGGAAGUGCGCCAUCUUUGUGAAGUGAUCCACCACAACUAAAAUGCUGUUGAAGCCUCCAGAACUCAGAAGAUCACUCAAGAAAUCCAUAGAGAUGGAUUCCGAGGAACCUGAAGGGACAGGGAGGGAAUGAAACAAAUCUGAAGGAAGGUGGUGAGGGACCUUAUUCUAGGCGCAAGUGUCACAGGAGGUAACAAAAGCUUUGAUGUAGUCGUCUAUGUGAGGCCACCAAAAGUCUUGUGCAACCAGCUCAUAGGUUUUUGCAAUGCCAAAGUGACCAGCAGUCGGGCUAUCAUGGCACGCCCAUAUGAAGGCUGAUAUCGGCCAAUGCAUAGAAGGAAUAGGCCUAAAAAUUAUCAGCUCGUCAAGAGGCAACCCGAAUGAAAUGGAGCAUACGCACUGCGCAAAGAGGCAAAGACGCGAUGCCAGUGUGAGGACCACCCAGGGAGACCAUAUUGGUAACCUGAAGUAGCAUAUGAGUUAGUUAGAUUACAUCUAGGGUACCAUAGCGGACUUACAGGAGGUCCAUCACACCAUUCAAUCAAUCCUCUUCCUAUCAAGUUUCCCUGUGGAAAACAUGAACACGGUAAUGAUAGAGAUGUGGUUUCGUCGUUCAGGCUCUACCUGGGAAAGACCACUCGACGGGUGCUCCUUCUCCUUCCUUUGGUUUCUCUUCAAUUUUCUUUCGUGGAUUGUUGUUUGUCAAGUACUUCAGGACCAACCUUUGAGCAUCACCUUCAGAAACGUAAAGCUGCUACCCACGGUACAAUAAGCCAUCUAAGAACUCGAACUCGUCAAAUCGCCGGUAGUCAGGAGUCACUGGGUGUCCAGCUUGAAGAUGGAGGAAAAUGUCACUGGCGAGGUCGUCAGAUUGAAGAUCGUUUCUGAUUGCAUCCAUCAAGGAGGAGUCCUGAGGGGCCAAAGAAAUUGCCAUAACUUGAAGCCGAUCAGGACCGAGGAUAACCUAAUCCUGUUGAUCGGAGGUAGGAUUACAAGGCCUGAGACUGAGAUAGGAGCGCCUUGAAAGAGCAUCAGGAAGGCCAUGAAGCUUUCUAGGUCUGUACUUGAUAACAAAGUCAAACCGACUUAGAAAUUGUGCCCACCUUGCUUGACGACGGCUCAAAACUCGGGAAGUGGCAAAGUACUCAAGAUUUUUAUGAUCAGUCUAGACCAUUGUUUGAUGGCUCGCCCCCUCCAAGAAACGACGCCACUCUCCAAAGGAAUCCACGAUGGCAAGGAGCUCCUUGUCGUGGAUUUCGUAAUUGAUCUCUACAAGCUAGAAUUUCCGAGAAUGGAAAGUGACCAGAUGAAAUUCUUGAUCUGCUCUGAGUUGAGACAGUACAGCACCAAAGGCAAAGUUGGAGGCAUCUGCCUCGAUGAAGAAAGGUUGUGAGGGAUCAGCGUGGAUCAAGACGGGAGCAAAACUGAAGGCCACCUUGAGUGUGUCGAAGGCCUGCUGGGUAGCAGUAGACCAAGAGAAGGAAACAUCCUUGCAAGUGAGAUGCAUGAGAGGAAGGACAAUGUCGAAGUAGUGAUCAAUGAAUUUGCAGUAGAAGUUGGUGAAGCCAAGGAAAACGUGAACAUCUGACAUUAAUUGUGGAGGCUCCCAUUCGAGAAUAGUCUUGACUUUGGCAUGAUCCAUCGUGAUACCCUCAGGAGUGAUAAUGUACCCAAGGAACUCCACAGACUCCUAAUCGAAUGAACAUUUCUCAAGCUUCGCGUUUAAGCCGUGUUCUCGUAGCUUCGCCAGCACCUUGCGCACAUGCUCGUUGUGCUCCUCUUGAGUUUUUUAGUAAAUGAGGAUGUCGUCGAGGUAGACAAUCACCAUCUGAUCAAGAAACUCCCAAAAGACAUUGUUUGCCAUGUGUUGGAAAACUGCUGGAGCAUUUGUCAAGCCAAACGGCAUGACAGUGUACUCGAAGUGGCUAUAGCGGGUUCGGAACGCAAUCUUCCAUUCAUCACCAAGCCAAAUCCGGAUCAGGUUGUAUGCUCCACAGAGGUUGAUCUUAGUGAAGAAGCAGGCACCGCCAAGGUGUUCCAAUAGGUCCGAGAUUAGGGGCAGCAGAUAACAGUUCUGAAUAGUCACCUGGUUCAAACCUCAGUAGUCGAUGACUAAUUGCAAACUCCCAUCCUUCUUCUUGACAAAGAAGUCAGGCGCUCCAUCCAGGGAUUGCGAAUGUUGAAUGUACCCCAAGGCAAGGUUCUCAUCCACUUACUCUUUGAGGGCCUUAAGCUCGGACAGGGAUAACCCAUAGAUAUGCCCCCAUGGAGGUGAUGCUCCUUCCUAUAAAUCAAUGGGACAGUCGUAAGGCUGAGGAAUAGGCAGUACACUAGCUUUUUUCUUGUCAAACACAUCCCCAAAAUCAUGAUACUUCUCAGGAAGACUGAUAGGAGAAACAUGCAAAGAAAAAAGGAAAACAGAUUCUUCAUGAAAGAGUUCUUACAUAGUGAUUGUGGAGAUAGGAGGAGGUGUAUGAUUGAAUGGAAUGAUGAGACGAGGAUACUAUUCAGUGUAAGAUGGAAGAGAGGGAAAAGAAGAGGGUGAAAAUUUCGUAGAGUCAGGAACAAAACCCCGAUUUGAGUUUAGGGAACUUUUCCUAAUUUGGACUCGAUGAAUAGCAGGGGAAGAUGUGGGAGAUGGUGACGUGGGAGAGACAAGCUGUAAUUCCUUCCUACAAAUAUGAGGCUGGUGCAGUUGGAACCAAGGAAGGCCGAGCACCACAAAGGAGGACUUACUGUUGAUGAUGUUGAAGGUGAUAUCGAUGAUGUGGACCUGAUGUGUACUUGAACGGGCAACGUUUCCUUAAGUCCAGAAGAUGGAGACACAAAAUGCUCGCCAAUGCCUUCAACCCUCAGAUCCCAUAUGGUAGGAAAAAGAGGAAUGUGAUGUCGUGCAGCAAAGUCCGUGUCCAUGAAGCAGGAAGUUGCACCCGAGUCUAGUAGUGCCAGAGCCUUGAGUUUUGAUUGUCCGGUGAAAGAAAGGAGACAUGGAAUGCGGAAGUUGCGGGAAUUGGUGGUGGCUUUGAUGAAAGUUGGUGAGGAACUUGAUAAAGAAGAAAAGUGAUUUUUAUUCAGGGAGUCCAAACAGAUAGCUCCUACUCUAUUUGGACAGGGUUAUUUCCCAACUGCAAUAGAGGUGGACCUUGAGGUAGAGUGAACUCGAGCAGUCGAGGAGGCUUCUUGGGACACACAGCUGCUUUGUGAUUAGGAUCAGCAUAGUAGAGGCAAAGAUUAUGAGAUACUCAAUGUUGCUUCUCAACAGCACUCAACUUCCCUCUGAUGAGUCAGGGAGUACCAGAAAUAUCCAUUGGGACCGGAGCAAUAGGUUCAGGAGUAACCCGAAGACUCAAGUUGGGAAUUUUGAGUCUGGGACGGGAAAACGACGACAUGGCGACUUUCCUAAUGUCGUUCAAAGAGAUGAUUGUUGCAUCAAACAGCUUUGUUGAUGGCAUCUGACAAGUCUGUGGGAUCCUCCAUGGUGAGCAACAAAUCCUUGACACCGUUGUUGAGGCUAAAACGAAAUUGAUCAAUCAGGGCCUGCUUAUCCCACUGAGUGUCCAAGGCAAGGAGUUGGAACUCCGCAGCAUAGAUCAAGGUAGGACAAGACCCCUAAGAGAGAUGUCUCAUCUUUGUGGUGGCAGCCCAAACCUGAUCUGUCUCACCAAAACAUGCUUCGAGCUUCUUUUUGAACAACCGAAGAUCCAUCAGCUCUGGAACCACGACCCCUUUCAUGCUCUUCUCCAUGAGAGGAGAAAACCAUGACAAAGCUGCACCUUCAAGCAACAUCCCAAUCGCGCCAAUUUGAGACUUAGAAGUGGGGUACUGCCGAUGUUGAAGUGCGAAGAUUAGCUCCAUCUGGUUCAGGAAUCUGUGAAGCUCCGAAUGUUUGCCUAAGAACUUCGCCGGGAAACUCACCUUCGGCUCAAGAACUCUACUUGAUCCUUGAGCUGAAAGUGAAGCAAGCACCUAUUGCAUGUGAAGAAGGGUUGCCUUCAGCUCGGUAUUCUUAGACUAGAUUUUUGCAAAGACUUCAGCAAAAAAAUCAGGAUGGCUUGGAGACUCCAUCGGCAAAGAAGAAAGAAAAAGGGGGAAAAAGGGGGAAAAAGGCAAAGGCAGUCAAACAAUCAAAACAAGCUAAAGCAAAAGCAAAAAACACAACCUGAAUCAAACUGUCAGGACCUCUAACAAGAUCAGGACUGGAAAAUGCAGAAGACAAAGAGAAAAGCUUGUGGAAACGAAUAAAAAGCCUUAAACUGGCAUUGAUUCAGAUUGUGGAGAAAUGGAACAAGGCUAACCUAUAUAUACUAUAGGUUGAUGGAUCAAGGACGGCCUAAAUAUAGUUGAGGUCAAGGAGGCGCCACAUCAUCAUGAGGAAUGUGGUUUGAAACUCAGGAAUCAUACAAGAAAUUAGAGAGUCAGGAAUAGGGAAGUGUCUCGAGAGUCAGGAAUGUGGUCUGUGGGUCAAGAAUCCGGUGAAAGUCAAGAAUGUGGCAAGAAUUAGGGGAUUCCUAACACAUUUAGUCACAUAAUUAGUGGUGACUAAAAUGUAUUUGUUCCUCUUAUUGCUUGUUAUUAUAAAUUCUACAAAAUCCAAUCCCCAUUUAUGAAAUGCUUCAUAUGGAUAGGUAGGAUUUAGUUCGUGGAUUUGUUUUUUAGACUGCAAUUUAUUCAUUUAGCAAAUAUCAUAAUUUUUGCAAAAAAUUGUUGUGUCUUUCUAAAGUGUAGGCCACUACAACCCUACUUAUAAAACUUUACUUGCAGUGAUUUCAUCUACAAAAUGGCCUCCUAAUGGGUUAAAUGAGCUUCUUUUAGGAUUUCACUCCUUCUUGCUUAUUAACAUAUCUCCUUAGUGUUCUAUUGAUGCCUAAUUUAUAUAGAUGCUUCCCCACGACAGAGUAAGGUUGUGUCCUUAAAAUAAAUUUCUCUGGUGAGUUAUAGUGAGCUGGAAUAGUGCUUGUAAAAAGAUAGAUUUAUAUAUCUUCCAACCAAGUGGUAGGCACAGUGAUUGCAAAUAAGUGAACAUCUAGGAGUUCGUCCGGUUUAGGGUUUAGAGCAUCUGUAACAAUAUCAAAAGUAUCCACUAGUAGGUGAAACUCUUUUGUCCAAUUUGGCUUAACAAGUAUAAGUGUCUUUUUAAGGCAUUGUUUAAGUCUUAAAAAUUCUUUUAUAUAAAUGAAAUAUCUUUCUUUAAAAGAUCAGUAAAUGGCUUGGCAAUUUUUGUGUUAGCUUUUAUAAAACGCUUAUAAUACCCAAUAUUGCUUUGAAAGCAACAUAGACUUUUCAAAUUAUGUGGUAGAUAAAUUAUUUUAAUUACUUGAGUUUUGCUUUUGUCUACAAGGAUGCCUUUGUGAGACACAAAUCCCUAAGCCCCAAUUUGGAGCCGAAAGGGCACCACAUGGUGGUGGCUGAAGUGAAAGCCAAACGAGCGUAACACGUUUGGAUUGAAAGCUAGGUCAAGAGCGGGAGUGAAACUCUCAACGAAGUGCUCAAGGAACAAGCACGAAGUGAGCGAUAAGUGAGUCUCUAGAAAAAGGACCCGAGAUGGAGUUUGAGAUGGUGUCCGAGAUGGAGUCCGAGCUGGACCCGAGAUGGACCUGAGAUGGAGUCCGAGAUGGAGUCCGAGAUGGACCUAAGAUAGACCCAAGAUGGAAUCUGAGAUGGAGACCGAGAUGGACCAGAGAUGGACUUGAGAUGGAGUCCGAGAUGGAGUCCGAGAUGGACCUGAGAUGGAGUCUAAGAUGGAACCGGGACCGAGACCAAGACCGAGUCCAAGUUCGAGGGCGAGACCGAGGCCGACACCGAGACCGAGUCCGAGUCCAGGUCCGAGUCCGAGUUCGAGUCCAAGUCCGAAUACUAAUACAGGCAGUUGGGUGAAAGCCCAAAGCGAUUGUCCCCCAGGGGGGACGGGGGGGGGGGCUGCGGGGGGUUCCAAAAGUAUAGUAGGGAGAGUGUGGGGGUUGGAUCCCAGUGGAGCUAGUUUAGCCAGGAAAGGCUAGUUUGGCCCAGGAAGGCUAUGCCCAGGUGCUGGGUGACGGGAUAACCACUGGGAAGUCCAAGGCUAGAGUGAAUACGAAUUGACAAGUGGGGUAGCUUGGUAAAGUGUUCAAGAGCUGGCUCAUACCCCCCUGGGAGAUCGACUAGCCGAUGCUCCCAAUCCAAGUGUGGGUGGCACUACCUACUUGGAUACCUGGUGUGGCUCAAUAGAACUCGCUCUAAGCCCAUGGCUAAAGCACCCAAAGGCGAAAGGCAGGGAGAGUACCCAUGAAGCCCACAUAGGGCCACAGUGUUUCGAAAUGUUGUCCUAAAGUCCUAGAUUGUGGAAAGGAAGAGGAAUAGUCCUCUAGUGUGGUGACCAAGGAUACAGUCAUACGGUGAGGAAGUCCUAGAGGAUAGUGGGACUUAGUGGUCGGGCUUGUGGGCCUUGAUCCAGUGGUAGUGUUGGCAAACAUGGCCAUGGACAGAAAGGGACUUAGUGGGGACCAGAAAAAAGAUAUUUAGGAAGGCUAUUCCCCAUGUUUGCGGGCAUCCAAAGGAUGCUAAGGAGUGGAUCUGGGAUAAUCACUCAUGGACAGAUGGCCCAGUCUUUGAGAGACGGGAUUGCAAUGCAGGUGGUGUUGGACCACCGGUGUGACCAAGGUGAAUGGGCAUAGCUAUAGUGUAACGGGCUGAUAUGUCGGUGGUACCUUAGGGUGUCGGUCAUGGGAUCGGACACGUGGAGCACUUGGACCAAGUGCAAAGGUUGAGUGGUAUGGAUGCCAUUCUCGGGGAUAGCAAGCCCCAAGUCUGGAAUAGGACUUAUGGAGGUUGUGAGUGAGACUCCUCCAAGUAGUCAGAGGUGUAGUUAAGUGACUAAAGUAGAAUGGAGAAAUUAAUCACGUACAACUUGGUAUUGGAAUUGUUCUUUAGUCCGACUUUUAUUGGUGCUCAAGUAUAUCACCGCUAGUGUUGGCAGUGGAAGGUCCUAGGAGUGGGCCUAUCCUUGAGGAGUAGCAGGUCAGGAAAACAUGGCUCUCCACUACAAUUCAUGUGUGAACUUGUAGGUGAAGCGGUGGAUAGAAAAGGGCCAAUAACGGAACAACUUCAGGAUCUUGGGAACAGUAUAAGGUUUUCCUCAGAAAGUUGAGGAUGUGAUCUAGAUGAGCUUUUGACUUAGCAAACUAGUUAAUGUAGUUGUGGUAAACAACUAUAGUUGGGAUCACGAGAAAGAUAGAAACUCCAAAAUAAUAAAGGAGUCACAAGAUUAUCCUCACAUAGUUGAGGCUGGUGCUCAUGAAUUUGAGACUGGAAUUGACGACCGUGAAAGGUCAAGUACGGAUGAGGACACAAAUUCUUGGGGCUACCUUUUAUAAAUGCUAGAACAAACCCAAGGAGUUGGGGUUGUGCUCAAAGGAUGAGUCAAUAUUCUCAUCAUAUGGACGGAUAGUCCUAAGGGGCAAAGAUAGCCCAUAGAUAACAGAAAAUAAUAAAGUCUUGGAGUAACACUUGCAAAGAUGGUCCUUAUGAGUAAGACAUGAAUACACGAAGUUGUAUUUUAGUGAGCUGGCACCUCAAAAUAAGACCUUGCGGGUCAAUGGGUUAGCAAAGUCCAAAAAUGCUGGAUGACUCGAGUAGAAUCAAGAAAUGGUCUAAGGGAUUGGUAAAAAGCAUUUGGACUAAGGUGUGUUGUGCCCUACGAAGGUUGGGGAGGAUCAUAAGAUUCAAGUAUGAGAACAGUGAGUAUCUCAUCGAUGGCAGAAUGUGCCAUACUAAAGUUGUGGGAAAGGUGUUCCCAUAAGAAAACAACUUUGAUACAAAGUUGUGCAUAAACUCUAUUGUGCAGUGCAAAUGGAUAGUUGGCAUGAAAAAGAACUGUAUUGGACUUGGUAAGGACCUAGACACAAGUAAAAAGUGUCAUAAAAGUAGGCUCAUGGAGCCGAUGAUGUGGAGACACCAAAUGUGCUAAGGCGUGAUGCAUUAAGGUGAAAUUGGCAAGUUCACGAGAACCCUUUCCCAAAGGAAUCCUAAUGGAAAUGGGAAUAGCAUAGCCUAAGCUGAAAGGCAUGCCGUUAGAGGGUGGUGACCGAAAUAAUGAUGGAGGUGUGGAAGCACCAGUAAUGAAUUGUAGGACUUGACAACUAUGAGGUAACUAAGCAAAAUGUGCAAAAUAAUUGGUUAAACUGGUAGAAGGUAAUUACCUAAGGCUUCUUAUUAGGAUAAAGAAGUUAAAUAUACCCUUAUAGGGGAUAAAUUGUUUAUGUUGUGAUAUAGUAAGUAAAUGUCAUAAAGGGAAUGCUCAUUGUCAAAAGAGGCCANNNNNNNNNNNNNNNNNNNNNNNNNNNNNNNNNNNNNNNNNNNNNNNNNNNNNNNNNNNNNNNNNNNNNNNNNNNNNNNNNNNNNNNNNNNNNNNNNNNNNNNNNNNNNNNNNNNNNNNNNNNNNNNNNNNNNNNNNNNNNNNNGACUUUGUGUCACGCUCCCCCUCUCAACCGCAGGUCGCAGUGAAGCCAAAAGCAAGUACUAAAGGGAUAGAACCGAACCAUGGGAAUCAACGGGCAUAACCAAGGGUGGUUAUGCAAGUUGAGAGUGGAGAAUCAAGCGGGUGCUUGAGCAUGUUGUUACUAGCGACCGGGAUGCCAUGGAGAGUCUAAAACAGAGGAUUGUUCAUGUUAGACUAUAUGGCAAUUGGAAAGCUUGCGAAAGAAAAGGCUUUAACAAGCUAAGGAACAGAGUUCCUUGAAGGUUCCCCUAGGUAGAUAAGUACCUUGAAAUCCAAGUGUAAAUGGUUCAUAGGGCGCGCGAAAUCAAAGUGGCACAGUAGAAGCGUGGUCUUGAAGCUUGCUAAGAGGCGAGGCUAUCAAGGUUAGGGAAGUAGUUGUCGAGUGUUCAAAGAGAGGGCUUUGAACGAAAGUCGAUGGUUGAGGACUUUCACGCUUAUACAUGAACCAUGUUACAGUUGUCGGAUGACUUGUUAAGUGAGAUUGGCAAGUCAGGGGAACAAAUACCCUAGUUGAAGGAGCCAACUUCAAAGGGGUGGCCCAUGGGGCCAAGCAUGGAGGAGUCCAUGCAUGAUCAUAAACUUAUCAAGUGAGAGGAUUUGGUAGUGUGGAGGAACUAGGUUCCUAAGCUGUGAUCUGUAGUGCAUUUUAAGUAUAAGUUGGUGUACUGGCAUGGGAAGUCACACCAGGCAUUCAGUGUGAUGCCGUCCAUAAAUGCAUAUACGAAGGUUGGGUUUGAGUCCCGACCCUCUAGUGCUUGGGUUCAAGUCCCAACUCACUAGGGUGCAGUGAUGGUUUGGAAUAUGAGGACACUCAUUUUUUGAUGGUCAUGGACUCUUAGUAAGGAGACUAGCUUAGGCACACUGCCAAGCGAGGGAUACCCCGAAGUCAUAAUACACAGUUAGAUUGCUUAGUGUGGCUCGGCAUAUUUAACUUGAACACUUUGGUGCAAGUAGCACCAAGGGUGUGGUGAAUGAGAUGGGGACACCCAAUCUCAGUUGCUAUGGACCCUUGGCAGGAAGGGCUGGCUUGGGUGCACCGCCAAGUGUGAGGGAUGCCCCCAGGGUCAUGGUCAACAAUUUAAAGGUUUGGAAGACUUAGUAUCUAUUGGCAAACUUAAUAAGGUGUCGAGGCUAAAUCACUAGGUGACCUCACGACUAAAUAAGGAUAAGGUCUUUGUGAGGUUAAGGAAUAAAGUUCCUAAUUCAAAGUGUCAACUUAAACUAUUGAUAAUGGUGUGGCUUAGUCAAAAUGACCAAAUGGGAAGGACACCAAAAGGGAAAUCAGUUGUGCCAAUAUGAUGGUAUAGCGAGUCCAAGAAAGUGGCCUCUAGGAAAGACCUAUGGGAGGGUCACAAAGUUGGGCUAUUGAUGGAGCUUAAUGCUAAAGAGACCUCCUAGGGGUGAGCACCCUCUGGACUUGGCAAAAUAGAGCCUUUACCAUGGAACCAAAAUGAUACUUCGAGAAUGGAGGUAGUGAUCCUAUAUUGCUUGGUGCAACAAUCAACGAAUAGGAGCAAAAGAAUAGUGGCUAAGAAAAAAGCCAUGGGAAUCAUGGAAAAGAAUCCAGAUGGCAAAGUUAGGCCAAAACACUAAAGUGUUGGGUGCUAACAGAUUGUGGGAAAAGCAAUGUGUUUCCAAGGAUGGAUUCCCAAUUGCUUCAAUUUGGCGAAAGCGGAAGCUUUAGAGGAAGGAGCGGUAAGGUAGCCAAAUGAUAUAGCCAUAGACAACCUUAGCACAAAUUAUGAUAACUGGAACUUAGUGCCAAAGGUGGCACGAAAUCAAAGAGAGGAUGAUGGUGCCCUCAAGUAGAGAACUUCUUAAGAUGGGGAAGUGGAGUUGCACCAUAUGUGUAAUGCAAGGUGUCGGAGACACUUAGGAAGUUGACUCUGAGAAGUUAAAAUUAAAAGUUCCAAAGUGCAAAGGUUAUAUCGAUAGAAACUGAGACUACUCGAGAAUAAGUAAUAGGAUUGAUAUAGAGAAGGUGUCUCUAACAAGUUUAGUGAGAACUAAACUAAUAAAAAGAGAGAACCACCACAAGUGGUCGAAUAAGCCUCUAAGUUGGAGAGACUAUGCUCCUUAGAAGAUAAGCAAGGCAUGAUGAGCCUUUAGUAUCAAACCAUUGACGAAUAUGGGCAAAAGGCCAAGGAUGGAAAAGGUAAUACAAGUUGGUAUUACUUUAUAAAAUAGUUUAUCGUUCGAUGAGGACAUCGAACUUCGUCUAUGGGUGGUGGAGUUGUGAGACACAAAUCCCUAAGCCCCAAAGUGGAGCCAAAAGGGCACCACGUGGUGGUGGCAGAAGUAAAAGCCAAAUGAGCGUAACAUGUUUGGAUUGAAAGCUCUAACUUGAAAGGUCAAGAGCGGGAGUGGAACUCUUAACGAAGUGCUCAAGGAACAAGCACGAAGUGAGCGAUAAGUGAGUCUCUAGAAAAGGGACCCGAGAUGGAGUCUGAGAUGGUGUUCGAGAUGGAAUCCAAGCUGGACCCGAGAUGGACCUGAGAUGGAGUCUGAGAUGGAGUCCGAGAUGGUGUUCGAGAUGGAAUCCAAGCUGGACCCGAGAUGGACCUGAGAUGGAGUCCGAGAUGGAGUCCAAGAUGGACCCGAGAUGGAGCUGAGAUGGAAUCCGAGAUAGACCCGAGAUGGACCCGAGAUGGAGUCCGAGAUGGAGUUCGAGAUGGACCUGAGAUGGACCUGAGAUGGAGUCCAAGAUGGACCCGAGAUGGACUCGAGAUGGAGUCCGGGAUGGAGUCCGAGAUGGAGUCUGAGAUGGAGUCCAAGAUGGACCCAAGAUGGAGUCCGAGAUGGAGUCUGAGAUGGAGUCUGAGAUGGACCCGAGACGGAGUCCGAGAUGGACCCGAGACAGAGUCCGAGAUAGAGUCCGAGAUGAACCCGAGAUGGAGACCGAGAUGGAAUUGGGACCGAGACUGAGACCGAGACCGAGACUGAGACCGAGUCCGAGGCCGAGACCGAGACCAAGUCCGAGUCCAGGUCUGAGUCUGAGUUCGAGUCCAAGUCCGAAUACUAAUACAGGCGGUUGGGUGAAAGCCCAAGGCGAUUGUCCCCCAGGGGGGAUGGGGGGGGGCUGCGGGGGGUUCCAAAAGUAUAGUAGGGAGAGUGUGGGGGUUGGAUCCUAGUGGAGCUAGUUUGGCUAGGAAAGGCUAAUUUGGCCCAGGAAGGCUAUGCCUAGGUGCUGGGUGACGGGAUAACCACUGGGAAGUCAAAGACUACAGUGAAUACGGACUAAUAAGCUGGGUAGCUUAGUGAAGUGUUCAACAGUUAGCUCUAGUUCCCCCGGGAGAUCGAAUAGUCGAUGCUCCCAAUCCAAGUGUGGGUGGCACUACCUACUUGGAUACCUAGUGUGGCUCAAUGGAACUCGCUCUAAGCCCAUGGCUAAAGCACCCAAAGGCGAAAGGCAGGGAGAGUACCCAUGAAGCCCACGUAGGGCCACGGUGUUUCGAAAUGUUAUCCCAAAGUCCCAGACUGUGGAAAUGAAGAAGAGUAGUCCUCUAGUGUGGUGACCAAGGAUACAGUCACACGGUGAGAAAGUCCCAAAAGACAAUGGGACUUAGUGGUCAAGCCUGUGGGCCUUAAUCCAGUGGUAGUGUUGGCAAACACGGCCAUGGACAGAAAGAGACUUAGUGGGGACCGGAAAAAAGAUAUUAAGGAAGGCUAUUCCCCAUAUUUGCGGGCAUCCAAAGGAUGCUAAGGGGUGGAUCUAGGAUAAUCACUCAUGGACGGAUGGCCUAGUCUUUGAGAGACGGGAUUGCAAUGUAGGUGGUGUUGGACCACCGAUGUGACCAAGGUGAAUGGGCAUGGCCAUAGCGUAACAAGCCGAUAUGUCGGUGGUACCUUGGGGUAUCGGUCAUGGGAUCGGACACGUGGAGCACUUGGACCAAAUGCAAAGGUUGAGUGGUAUGGAUGCCAUUCUCGGGGAUAGCAAGCCUGAAGUCUGGAAUAGGACUUAUGGAGGUUGUGAGUGAGACUCCUCCAAGUGGUCAGAGGUGUGGUUAAGUGACUAAAGUAGAAUGAAAAAAUUAGUCACUUACAACUUUCCUUGUAGACAAUAUGGCUUAGAAGUAUAUCAAAAUUUACAAAGAAUGUACACUUCUUUGGAUUAAGAGAAAUGUUGUGUUCUUAACAUUUUUUAAAACAUUUUUGCAAGAAAAUUAAAUGUUCCAUUUUGGAGCUAAAGAUACUAAAAUCAUCCAUGAAAACUCUCAUAAAAUCAGUGAGAUAUUCUUUAAAAAUGUUUGUAACAACUCUUUGGAAUAUAAAAAGAGCAUUGCAUAGGCUAGAAGGCAUUUUGCAAUAGACAUAAGCUCCCUAUGAGCUUAUAAAAGUUGUUUUAUGUUAAUAUUCAAAUGCUACUUCCAUUUGGUUAUAGCUAGAGAAUCCAUUUAAAAAUGAAUAUAUUUCAUAACUUGCUACCGAAUCUAGAACUUUAUUUGUGAAAGGGAUAGGAAAUAUAUAUUUUUUCAUUGCAUUAUUUAGCUUUUUAUAGUUCACAUAAACUCGUAACUUGCCAAUUUUCUUAAACACAAUUAUAAGUGGUGAAAGUUAUUGUGCAUUUUGAAUUGGAUAAAUGAAUCUUACUUGGAGAAGUUGAUCGAUUUCUUCCCUAAUUUUACUAUGAUAAUUGGGAUUCAUUUUGUAGGGCAUUUGCCUCUUAAGUAGAUUUCCCAAAAGUAUCUCGAUGUGAUAUGCACAAAGUUCUAGUGGGAUGCCUUCUAAAUAUAUGUAAAACUAGGCAAAAAUGUUUUUGUAGUCUUUUAGUGGAUUUAUGGCCUGAUUCUAAAAUUUUCUUUGCAAUCCUUGAGCAAUUGUGAUAAUAUGUAGAUUAUUUUCAUCUGCCAAAUUGAUUUGCUCAAGUGGUUGAUCACAAGAAAUAUAUAUAACAUAGUUUUGCUAUUGAUCAAUUUUAUCCAUAGGAUCCUCUUUUAGGGAGAAAUCCCUUAUUGCCGUAUCAAUCUUUGGUCUAAGUGCUUAUUUACUAGAUAUCUAUUUAAGUAUUAAAUAGAGAUCCACUUCUAAAAUUGAUUCAAUUUUAGGGAAAGCUUUUAAGAUUUGUUGUUCUUGGAAAUCAUCUAACCCUUCCUUUCAAUCAUACAAUUGAGUUUUGAGGGGUUAAUCUUUUCUUUCCAACUGUAUAGUGGAGAUGAGCAGAGAUCAUUUCUAGCUACUUUGCUCUAUAUGCAUGAAAUCAUUUUUCUAGUCUUGGUUUGUGCAAGCAAUUUUUAGCUAUGGUUUGCCUAGUAGAGUUGUGUAGGUAGCAUCUUGUUAUAUCAUUUUAAGUACAACAUAAUUGAUUUUAUACUUUAAGCCAGCCACAUUGGUCAAGACAUUUUUUAUGAUUCCAAUGGGCUUGAUGCUUCGGUUAUCUGCCAUUCAUAUAUUAAAUGGGGUUGGUCAAAUUGGGCUUAAGCCUAAUUCUUUGCAAAUACUCUCUUCUAGAACAUGUACACCUAACCCAUAAUUGAUAAGAAUUCCAAAUAAUAUAUUUUUACCAAUCUUUAUAUCAAUUUUACCAAUUUUCAGCAAGUAUAUUUUUGCCUAUAGGUAUCUAAGCUUUAUUAAGGUUUCUACAAUAGCUUCUUUGUCUAGGAUUGCAUCAAAUUCUAGUAAUUGUCUCGUAGACAGAAUUUUAUAAAUUCUUUGUAAGUUGUAAUACUCAGGAUUUACAUCUAGCUUGGAUAGGUAGACUAUCUCUCUGUCUAGGAAAAAUCCUGGUACUAUUUUCUUUUUGUAUAGGUAACUCUAUAGGUAUAAGUCUCGCUUAUACUAUGUACCCACAAAGUAAUCUAAGUGUAUUAACACACCUUCUUUAACAAUAGUAAAGGUACUAGAAGUUAAACUUCUGUAUAUCUUGAGCAAAAUUCAGCACAAGGUCUUUGGCGUAUAAUAGUCAAUUCCGGAAUAACUUGCUUACUUCAAAUUGGAUCUUACCCUUUGGCUUAUACCCAACUUUGCCUUUACAACUGUGGAAUUAGAAAAAGUGGCCUAUUGCAUUUGGCAAAUUUUUGCUGAACCUCUUUUGAAUGGAUCAACACUAGGGACUAAUUUGAACAGGGCGUGAAGAUCAAUUGCCCUAUGGAAUCAAUACAAAGGUCAAAUUGUCUAACAUAUGAUAAUCUAUUCUAGAUCAAUUUGUUUGUGGAAAGAUGUUAAGUAGUUUUUCAAACUUGUGAUAGCUAAUUUAAGCUCUAUUUCGUUAAAGUGGGAAUUUUUAUUAUCCCACUUGUAAAAUAAGGUUUCCAAACCUUUAUAUAGUAUA